Molecule: long non-coding RNA, 2688 nt
Filed under: Sarcophilus harrisii (Tasmanian devil)
Lineage: Eukaryota; Metazoa; Chordata; Mammalia; Dasyuromorphia; Dasyuridae
Description: lncRNA (ENSSHAG00000032375.1)
Source: RNAcentral
UCUUUUAUUACAACAAUCCAGAUUAGAUUAUUGGUUAUUAAUUUGGAUUAUUUCCCAUAACUGCUAAUAUUUACUCCUUUUUGUCCCCCCAAAGUUAAAUAAAUGACCUCAGGAGCGUAAAAAUGAAACUUUCUAGCUUUGUAUCAACAUAUAAGAACACAGCAAAUUCUGAUAGAGUGAAUUAUAUACUUUCUUAAAAAAAAACAAAAAAAACAAUGCAGUAAUUCAUGUGAACAAAAUUCUUAGUAUAAACUUUUAAUCUACCUUCAGAGUACUGAUGCUAUUGCUGCUGACAUGUUCUUAAGAUAAUUAGGAUGAAUGCCUGGUACAAAUAAAUGUACUAUUUGCCUGUGAACAUGCAAUGAAUUAAAGAAAGACAACAUGUAUAACAACACAGGUUUAAUGUCUUAUGCAGUUAUAGAAUUCUAACAGCAAAGGGUUUUUGAUCAGAUCUGGACAGUUCAUGGAGUGGAAUGUAAUUUGUAAGCAUACUUUUACACUGUUUACACACACAUACAAGACAAACAUUAGCAACACAUGCUACAGUUUCAUCCAAAAAGGGAAUGGGAAAAGGAAGGCAUUUAAAUUAAAAUUCAAUAAAACACAGGGGAAAAUCCACCAGACAAUAUGAAGUGAAAUAAUGAAAGGCUCUAUCAAAUUAUAAGUUUUGAUAAGGUUUGACUUUUCAAAGUCAAAUUCUUCCCUACUCCAUCAUUGAUAAAGGAUGAAAAAAAAGUCAUGUCUAUUCAAAGUAAUUUCAGGACUCUACCUGAAACUUGCAGAAUCUUAAAAAGACAAUGUGAACAAAGGAUUUGAAAGGGAAAAGAGAUCCAAUAUGGACCAAAGUUAUGUCUACAUUAUGACCCUUGUCAGGUGAGAACUAAAAUACACACACAAAAAAUCUGGCUGCUUGAUAAAUGUCUCCUAAUGUGUAAGUGCAACCUGAAAUAAGUUAUGCAUGAAGAACCAGAGUUCUAGACAAUGCAUCCUACCAAAAUUGCACCAAUAGCUGAAGUGUGCUCUUCUUUUAUGUCAAGAAAAAGCUAUUAGCUUUCAACUUCUAGGUACCAUAGAACAAAAAACAAAAGCUUUCACCUAACUGCAUCCUUUUUGGUUUUUAUAAUUGUUAAGUACACUUGUAAAAUAUAUUUGGAUUUUUAGUUGCUCAAGCACAAAACUAUCAAAUAUUUCUUUUCAAUUAAGUGACUCAGUCAUUCAGCAUGCAAGAGAUACUUAUUUAUCUCUUUUAUAAAGUCAUGCUUCAUAUAACUUGUUUGUGCCAACUCUGUUAUGAAAGUCAAGAAAAUAUAAAAUAUAAAAGGAAUUUAAUACAAAAAAAUUUUCCAACUCAGUUUGAUUGUUCUGGUCGCUAUCUUUUGUAGGGUCUCAAUUUUCCUUAUGCAAUUAUCUACAAAUAGCCCCUUUGUCAGACAGUCAACAUUAUAACAUUUUAAAAUAUCAUUCUGAAACAACUUUACAAGUCUCAUUUUUUAUGUGUGACACUUUAUGUAGUUGAAGGGAAGGAGAGAUGAUCUGAAAAGGAAACCAUGCUGUUUAGGUGCUGUAGGGGAAACAAAGGUCAGUAGUAGAAAGAAAACAUCCAGGAGCUUCUCGGUUGUUCCCACUAUUACUUUUGGGAUCGCUCAAAAUCACAAUCUGAAGAGGCCACUAACCCUUUUUCCUACCUCAGGGAUAACCUGGAAAAAGGUAAUAAAAUGGAACCAGACUUGGUGAACACAGGGGUAGGAACAACCCGAGUGGGAGCAAAGUUAUCUCCUUACCCCAGGAGAGGUUCAAUCAAUGAUUUAGCUAAUAUAAUUUUCAUAGUCCCAGGGAAGAAGAGGAACAGAGUUAUACAUGUCAAGAUAUCAUCCUUAUCCACUAGACAUUUGAGCCACUAAAGAUCUCUACCAGGACACAACAGAACCAAGAUGGCUAGUUCAUAGCCACAAUUGGCAAUGAUGUUCUGUCUUUGCUCAAUAUAGAUAACUAAAGCAAAUGACCUUUCAUUUUUAGUGGGGUCAUAUGCUAAUACUAGAGUCCAAAAGAGCUACACUCUAGAGAAAAAAAAGUAACUCAUAUACCAGUAGUCUGUUUGGCUUAAGAAUCAGUGUCAAGAUUCUAUAUAUUGGUCUUCAAUUUUACCAAUAAUUUAGGGUUAGGGUCUAUGCUGUUAGUUCAUUAUUUCUGGUAUUGAGGAAUAAAAACAGUGUGUAUAUGAAAUCAUAGGUAAUUCAAGACACCAAUCAUAACUAAUAGUUGUUUUCCAUCAAGCCUUGCAUCCAAAGGAUUAGAACUGAAUCAACCAUCAAGUAAGUUAGGUUUUUUUGUUUUUUUUUUUAAUGUUUUUUAUUGAAGUUUGAUGCAGGCUCAAACUGGUUUACUAGGCUUUCUUUCACUCUUAAAAAAAAAGUUAGAAAAAGAAUUUUUAACAAAAUUUGAUUUAACUAAUAAACAAAGGGGGAGGAGGGAACUUUGUAUUAAGAGUUCAGCAAAUUAGUAGGAUGUGUAGAACUGGGUCAAGGCAUAAUUAUAAUUUUUAGUCUCAUUCAUCUCUGCUGUAACAAAGCAUCUAAUUUAGAGGGAGGUAGGCAACCUGUGGUACUUGCUGGAGGCACUCUUAACAAUCCCUAACAUAUGCUUAAAGGGAUUAUUGAUCCCCGAUCUAUCAAGAGAUAGUAAGUUUUG